AGAGUUUGAUCCUGGCUCAGGAUGAACGCUAGCGACAGGCUUAACACAUGCAAGUCGAGGGGCAGCGGGGGAUGCGUUCGCGCAUUCUGCCGGCGACUGGCGCACGGGUGAGUAACACGUAUGCAACCUGCCCCGUCCAGGGGGAUAAUCGGCGGAAACGCCGUCUAAUACCGCGUAUAUCGGUACCGGGCAUCCGGGAUUGAAGAAAGGGCCUUAGGGUCCGGGACGGGAUGGGCAUGCGGCGCAUUAGGAAGUUGGCGGUGUAACGGACCACCAAUCCGUCGAUGCGUAGGGGUUCUGAGAGGAAGGCCCCCCACACUGGUACUGAGACACGGACCAGACUCCUACGGGAGGCAGCAGUGAGGAAUAUUGGUCAAUGGGCGGGAGCCUGAACCAGCCAAGUCGCGUGAGGGAAGAAGGUACUGAGUAUUGUAAACCUCUUUUGCCAGGGGACAAAGGCGGCCACGGGUGGCCGUAAGAGGGUACCUGGAGAAAAAGCAUCGGCUAACUCCGUGCCAGCAGCCGCGGUAAUACGGAGGAUGCGAGCGUUAUCCGGAUUUAUUGGGUUUAAAGGGUGCGCAGGCGGCGUGUCAAGUCAGCGGUAAAAUGUCGGGGCUCAACCCCGGCCGGCCGUUGAAACUGGCGUGCUCGAGUUGGAGAGAAGUAUGCGGAAUUCGUGGUGUAGCGGUGAAAUGCAUAGAUAUCACGAAGAACCCCGAUUGCGAAGGCAGCAUACCGGCUCCACACUGACGCUGAGGCACGAAAGCGUGGGUAUCGAACAGGAUUAGAUACCCUGGUAGUCCACGCAGUAAACGAUGAAU
RNAcentral lists this ribosomal RNA (821 nucleotides) under uncultured bacterium. RNAcentral's name for it is "bacterial SSU rRNA". It matches the Rfam family "Bacterial small subunit ribosomal RNA", at positions 8 to 814 of the family's 1533-position model. The record is from RNAcentral.